GCCUUAGGCUUCUCCCUAGGAGUCCUGUUGCGGUUCGGUACGAGGAUGUUCCUUCAUUUUCACCGCCCAACUCGUUCUUAGUCUCAGCGUGACGCUCAUAAGAUCUGGGUGUCCCGGAAAAUUCUCACCGGCACACGUCGUUGGGGUCGCUGUCGUGUCGCCACAUAGGUACAUCUAUAUAGAAUAUCUACUAUAUUCCCUUUUACUAGGCUCGUAUCACUUCCUUCUAUUAAAAGGACAAACCCGCCUCCAUUGGCACAUACAAAUGAUGCUACUACUUCCAAGAUCUGCUCCGUGAACAUCUCCAACACACCUCACGGCGGGUCUUCUCAGAUGCACACGUGCCGGCCUACGUGGCUGUACCAUGUGGGGCU
This 374-nucleotide ribosomal RNA is filed under the name Enterocytozoon bieneusi H348. RNAcentral's name for it is "28S ribosomal RNA". The record is from RNAcentral. Lineage: Eukaryota; Fungi; Microsporidia; Enterocytozoonidae.